UCCGUAGGUGGAUAAUUAAGUCAGAGGUGAAAUCCUGCAGCUCAACUGUAGAAUUGCCUUUGAAACUGGUUAUCUUGAGUUAUUAUGAAGUAGUUAGAAUAUGUAGUGUAGCGGUGAAAUGCAUAGAUAUUACAUAGAAUACCAAUUGCGAAGGCAGAUUACUAAUAAUCAACUGACACUGAUGGACGAAAGCGUGGGGAGCGAACAGGAUUAGAUACCCUGGUAGUCC
This 229-nucleotide ribosomal RNA is filed under the name uncultured bacterium. Its description in RNAcentral is "partial 16S ribosomal RNA". It matches the Rfam family "Bacterial small subunit ribosomal RNA", at positions 568 to 796 of the family's 1533-position model. The record is from RNAcentral.